AUUGAACGCUGGCGGCAGGCCUAACACAUGCAAGUCGAACGAGUGGCGGACGGGUGAGUAAUGUCUGGGAAACUGCCUGAUGGAGGGGGAUAACUACUGGAAACGGUAGCUAAUACCGCAUACCAUCGGAUGUGCCCAGAUGGGAUUAGCUAGUAGGUGGGGUAACGGCUCACCUAGGCGACGAUCCCUAGCUGGUCUGCGAGCAUGACCAGCCACACUGGAACUGAGACACGGUCCAGGCGCCUACGGGGGGCAGCAGUUGGGAAUAUUGCACAAUGGGCGCAAGCCGGAUGCAGCCAUGACGCGUGUAUGAAGAAGGCCUUCGGGUUGUAAAGUACUUUCAGCGGGGAGGCGUUACCCGCAGAAGAAGCACCGGCUAACUCCGUGCCAGCAGCCGCGGUAAUUC
RNAcentral lists this ribosomal RNA (406 nucleotides) under uncultured bacterium. RNAcentral's name for it is "partial 16S ribosomal RNA". It matches the Rfam family "Bacterial small subunit ribosomal RNA", at positions 30 to 526 of the family's 1533-position model. The record is from RNAcentral.